This 368-nucleotide ribosomal RNA is filed under the name uncultured organism. RNAcentral describes it as "bacterial SSU rRNA". It matches the Rfam family "Bacterial small subunit ribosomal RNA", at positions 526 to 896 of the family's 1533-position model. The record is from RNAcentral.
CGGAGGGUGCAAGCGUUAUCCGGAUUUACUGGGUUUAAAGGGUGUGUAGGCGGGCUGUUAAGUCAGUGGUGAAAUCUCCGGGCUCAACCCGGAAACUGCCAUUGAUACUAAUGGUCUUGAAUAUCGUUGAGGUAGGCGGAAUAUGUCAUGUAGCGGUGAAAUGCAUAGAGAUGACAUAGAACACCAAUUGCGAAGGCAGCUUACUAAGCGAUGAUUGACGCUGAGGCACGAAAGCGUGGGGAUCAAACAGGAUUAGAUACCCUGGUAGUCCACGCCCUAAACGAUGAUUACUCGACAUACGCGAUACACAGUGCGUGUCUGAGCGAAAGCAUUAAGUAAUCCACCUGGGAAGUACGUCCGCAAGGAUG